RNAcentral lists this ribosomal RNA (635 nucleotides) under uncultured marine eukaryote. Its description in RNAcentral is "bacterial SSU rRNA". It matches the Rfam family "Eukaryotic small subunit ribosomal RNA", at positions 1 to 598 of the family's 1831-position model. The record is from RNAcentral.
AACCUGGUUGAUCCUGCCAGUAGUCAUAUGCUUGCUUCAAGGACUAAGCCAUGCAAGUCUCAGAAUCAAUGGAUCACAGUGAGUCUGCAGACGGCUCAAUAAAUCAGUUAUAAUCUACGCUGAGACACUACCUCAUGGUAGACUAUUGGAUAACCUUGGUGCUUCCAAGGCUAAUACAUGUCAGCAAGACCAGCACAGAAUCAACCUUGGGCACUCUCGGGCUUGAGGCUGUAUCGGGUGCAAUACCGAAACUAAAGCCAACCCUAGCAAUAGGAGUGGUGAUUUGAUGACUCGGGUCAAUCGAGCAGUAGCGCAUACUCCGGUCGCGCUUGUCGGCAACGAGUAUCUGCCCUAUCAGCUUUUAAAGGUAGUGUAAUGGACUACUGUGGCUGUAACAGGUAACGGGGGAUUAGGGUUCGAUUCCGGAGAGGGAGCCGGAGAAACGGCUACCACAACUAAGGUUGGCAUCAGGCGCAGAUUACUCGAUAGCAACACAUCGCUGAGGCAGCGAAGAGAAGUAGCAACCUCAGGCUACCGUUUGGAGAAUGCCAUGGACGAUAUCUAAACCUGUCGAUGAGAAUCAAUUUGCAGUCAAGUCUGAUGCCAGCACCCGCGGUAAUUCCAGCACCAAUAGC